Molecule: non-coding RNA, 103 nt
Organism: Vicugna pacos (alpaca)
Lineage: Eukaryota; Metazoa; Chordata; Mammalia; Artiodactyla; Camelidae
Source: RefSeq, a predicted model, not a curated record
UUUAUGUAUUUUGGAAAUUAACCCCUUAUUGGUCAUAUCAUUUGCAAGUCUUUUCUCCCAUUCAUAGUGCUGUCUUUUUGUUUUGUUUACGGUUUCCUUUGCU